This is a non-coding RNA of Physcomitrium patens, 3312 nucleotides long. The record is from RefSeq and is a predicted model, not a curated record. NCBI's taxonomy places the organism in Eukaryota, Viridiplantae, Streptophyta, Bryopsida, Funariales, Funariaceae.
CCACUCGGUCAUUUACAUGUUGUAAUACUCAGUGCGGUUUUACUCCGUGGAUGGAAAAGGGCGAUUGGCCUUGUUCCAAACUUACAUACAAAAUGCUUUGAGGUUUAGUCGACAGAGUUGGCAGUAGUGUUGCUCUCUGCAUUCAUGGAAAACAAACAUCCGUUGGAAUGAACUGGACUCAUGGAGAUGGAGAGCUACGGCGUGAUUGUGGAGCGUAGAGAUUGUGGGCCAAGAGUCACGGAGAUGGGAAAAGUUGCCUUUAUCAUUUUUACCAUCUGCUAGACAGACUUCUUCACCUCUCUUCCUUAAACCCUAAUCGCCAACGCCGUCUGUUGUGACACGGUUUGUUCAACUCCCUUACGCUUUCCCUGGUUGUGUGCGAUUUUGGAUGCCGAGCCAUGGAAUGCUAGGAUGGCGAAGAAUGUUAGGAUGGCGGAGAGUGGGGAAACCGAGAGCUCACGCAGCUCGGAGGAUUUUCGGAGCAGCAACAGGGGAAGAGGACUUCGGUGUUUGAUUUUACAAAAAUUUAAAAGCUUGUUGUGAUGUGGUAGCUGGUUCCUUUCCUCGUGUUCUCAGUUUCAGACUGUUUGCUACUGCCAGGGUUUAUACGUGGUUCGUGUUCCGGAAUGCUCGAUUUCUUCGGUGCAGGUUGCAGUCAGUCAGCUUACUUGAAGUGUGUUCAGAUGCGAUUUCUUGAAGAUUCAGUUCUUACUCAAAAAUCCAGUUGUAGCUCCCCAAUUAGAAUAUGGCGCGUCGCAAGAGGACGCGUUCUUUCAGUCCGAAUGACCUCCAGGAUAAUGUUGGAGUGAUGCCUGAGGUGAAACGUAGAAAAUUCCUAGAAUUUAUUGAUGGAAAUUCUUCGAAGGAUACAAAUGUACCACGUAACUCGAAAACGACGCAUUACAAGAAUGAAGAAGAUAAAGACAAUGAUUGUUCAAAGAAGUGUGGGAAGUGGGAGUCAGCGACGCGACAUCGUCGACGUCAGAAGGUCAGUAUGUUUUGGUUUCGCAAGCAAUCGUCGAGAUUUUUCUUCACAAAUAGUUUCCACGAACAGCAGCACAGAUUCAAAACACUAUCAAAACGACAGAACAAUUUCUGCCGGAGGACGAACAUUUCCUUCCUUGACAAGGAGGAAAACUCUACCUUUGAGAGAAUCUCUUCAAACAGCGCCGCCACUACAACAAACGAUGAACCGAAGCUGAAUCAGGACAGUGAGGCCUUUGAGAGUUUCAAAGAGAUUAACACAUCAAAUUUGUCAAGAAGACUUUCAAGCAAGAGCCCUGCGUCAUUGACAGAGCAAUUAAGAGCAUCUGACGACAAGUCUGUUGAGCAAAGUAGUGCUGACUACUUUGAGCUUUACAGAAGACGGGAGAAGUUGAAACCUGUGGAUGCCGCCCGUUCUUUGUACACAAACUUUCAGACUCACGAUACACAAUCACAUGAUAAUCGUCAGAUGCAGCGGAGUGUCAAAUAUGAGAGUGAUAUUAUCGGAAGAACACCUUGUACAGCUAUUGAGAUUGAUUCUUCUGAUGAAGAGGAGAUAGCAGCACAUGACACUGGUUCCACAAUUAACCCAUGUGAACAGCGUUGCCAACCAAGGUUGCAGAGCGCAGGGAAAAGAUUGGAGAGAUUCAAGAUCGCUUACCCAUCAAGGACGGAUCCAGAGGCAGUAGAAAUUCUGGCUUCGGACGUUCAACUACUAAAUCCGUUGGAGUUUCUGAAUGACACUAUCAUUGAUUUUUACAUCAAGUACAUCCAAAGGGAGUUUCUGAGUCUGGAACGAAGUCGACGUUUUCACUUCUUCAAUAGUUUCUUUUAUAAAAAAUUGUGUGGUGUAGUUGGCAAGAAGAGGGAGAAAACUGACAACUUCUCUAAGUUACGGAAGUGGACAAAAGGCAUUAACAUUUUUGAAAAAGAUUACCUCUUUGUCCCAGUGCAUUCCAAAUUGCAUUGGAGUUUAGCAAUCAUUUGCUUUCCCAACCAUGGACCUGGCAGUGCAAGCGGCUCUGAACGCUGCAUUUUGCAUCUUGAUUCUAUGAACUGUGGACAUGACAGCUCCACAGUAUUCCGUUUGCUUCACAGGUAUCUUGUAGCAGAGUGGAAAUAUACGUUUGCCAAGGGUGGUGAAAGGGGUGGGAAUAAAUUGUCACGUCAUAUGAUACCAACGAGGAAAGUUCCGGUUCCACUACAGGAAAAUGGGUCAGAUUGUGGCCUUUUCCUUCUGUAUUACAUACAAAAAUUUGUGGAAAGAGCUCCUGGAACAUUGAAGAUCAGCGACGUGGAGAACAGAUUAGAGAGUAUAGGGUUGUUCGGUCGGCGUUGGUUUUUACCUACCGAAGCGUCCAGCCUAAGGACCACCAUUCGGCAACAAUUGUUAAAGCUUUUCGCCCAGGACGCGAAAGCCCAGGGCAUCGCUUUCAAAAGCACAAUGAAAAAAGAAAGGUACGAGUCAUGUCGAGCGAUGCCUGUAAUGGGGCUUAAGAAGUUGGCAUGCUCUACAAACUGGAGGCUGGGUUUUGAGAAUUUAUGAGUUGCGAAGCGGACAGAAAUUACUGACGUAUUUCACAUUCGGCAAUGCUUGGAUAUAAACUGAUCAACAAUUGGAAGGCAGUUACAAUGUAAAAUUUAAUUUCGUGAACUAGCACACUGCCUCUCAGGUCUCGCGCAAAUUCGACUCCACCAAGAAAUGUCGGGCAAACAAAUCACUGAAGGUUUACCUUGCAGUAAAAAAGGCCCCAGCCAAAGUCCUAAAUCCACAAAAUGGUCCUCAAUUUGAUUUUUGAAAGAAUCUUAGGUAGCAAAAUUCUUAAAAAUUAAUCAAAAAUAGUAUUCAACUACGUUUGAUUACCUCUUUUUAGAAAAUGUUACCAAUACAUCUGUUUUGUCUACCUCAAGAGUUUUUUUUUUUCUUUUUUUUUCAUUUUUCAUUUUUCUUUGUCUAUUUUUGUUUUAAUUCUCCUGAUUAGUAUCUCCUCAGCAUAACCUGGUAAUCUUAAAAAGAUAUCAAAGAAAUACAGGGAUGACUUGAGAACAAUUUACUCCUAUUAACCAUUAAAAGUUCAGUUAAUGACCAAUCUCUAAAUACAUCUAAAAAGAAAAAAUUCUACUUUGCAAAAACCUUGAAAAUAUUGUUGUGUUGUUAAGACCUAAAUCCAAAAUUCAUUCUAUAUUCUUUCACACUCUUGCUGCCUACCUACUAAACAUAUAUGUAUAUAUAUUUAUCUUAGUAGAUAUCUUAAAUUGUAUAAUAUCCAUCUUGUGGUGUUUAACUAUUUGCAACUUUUUAGUCUAUAAAUUAAUUUCGAUUCUCUU